This 1031-nucleotide long non-coding RNA is filed under the name Parus major (Great Tit). Its description in RNAcentral is "lncRNA (ENSPMJG00000010073.1)". The record is from RNAcentral. Lineage: Eukaryota; Metazoa; Chordata; Aves; Passeriformes; Paridae.
CAAACAGCGGCUCCUUCCCGCCGGUGUUUGCUCAGCCAAUAUUGACUCUGCUCCCAACGCGGAGCCCGCUGUUCCCAGCGGGAUCCGAGGAGCGUCGGGACAACGCGGAGAUAACGGCGUGCGUGUCCCGCCGAGGGAGAGCGCCGGAAUGCCGCUGGGAAAAGGCCAUGAGAGAUGGGGAUGUGGCACUCUGGGAUCCUCCAAACAUCCCAAGGAUAUGGAAUUGUCUGCUCUGUUAAUUCCUGCUGUACGGAAGGAGAAAAGCGGGAUGGAGAAUGAUCCACACGAUUUCCCCUCAGGAUACCCAAACGCAUCCCCGCAACAAGAGACAAUUCUUAUUCCAAAGCCUUUUUCCAGGUGGGACGCUCCAGCUCCACCCUUUUCCCAGGAAAAAGAGCCCAAGCCUGGAAGUGUCCGAGGUUGGGUUGGACAGGGCUUGGAGCAGCCUGCGAUAGCGGGAGGUGUCCCUGCCCUCCCAACCCCGACCAUCCAUGAUUCCAUGAUGAAUCCAUCAUUCCAUGGUUUUGGGAGGCUGUUUCCAUCCAUUUUCCUCCUCGUGGGCUGGAUCCAGGCCCUGCCUGUGUUUGGGUGUCAUUCCUGGCAUCUCCCGUUCCUUUGGGCUGCAGAUGAAAAUCCCCCAGUUUUCCAACAGCUCCUUGAGCCAAUUCCCAGCCGGCCAUUCCCGCCUGGCAGUGUCUCCCGAAAAACAUUCGGCUUCUCCUGUUCCUCUUUGUUUCAAUCCAGCCUUGCCUGGAGUCCUCCCAGGAAUUUUUUUUCCCUGGUUUUUUUUUCCCUGUUUUUUUUUUUUUUUUUUGCCUGGGGUGUUUUCCACGCUGAUAACACCCCCGAGGAGUCACCUGCCCAAACACGCUCCCAUCCCCAGGGCCAAAGUUCGGGAAUUGCACCCUGCCCCGGAGCCAGGCUCAGCCAAAGCCCUCUUAGGCCCCGCCUAAUUAACCCCAGCCUUAUUAGCGGAUAAUCGCCGCAGAUUUAAGCAAAUUAUCCGCAAUAAAGGCGGGACAACAAUGGCA